GUAAGUCAGAUGGUCGCGUCUGCAAGUACCGAAAGGUCGCAGAUGAGGAACGUCCGGGCUCCACAGAGCAAAGGUGCUGGGUAACCCCCAGUGGAGGCGACUCUAAGGAAAGUGCAACAGAAAUAAACCACCUAUUGCAUGCAAUAGGAAAGGGUGGAAAGGUGAGGUAAGAGCUCACCGUUUCUAGGGUGACCUAGAAAGCCAUGUAAACCCCACCUGGAGCAAGACCGGAUAAAGACAUAUGUGGCUGCUCGUCACGUCUUAGGUAGGUUGCUAGAGCCUUAUAGGUAACUAUAGGUCGAGAUAGAUGACUAUCAAAUACAGAACCCGGCGUAUAGACUUGGUU
This 346-nucleotide RNase P RNA is filed under the name uncultured Niameybacter sp. RNAcentral's name for it is "Bacterial RNase P class A". It matches the Rfam family "Bacterial RNase P class A". Rfam says of the family: Ribonuclease P (RNase P) is a ubiquitous endoribonuclease, found in archaea, bacteria and eukarya as well as chloroplasts and mitochondria. Its best characterised activity is the generation of mature 5'-ends of tRNAs by cleaving the 5'-leader elements of precursor-tRNAs. The record is from RNAcentral. Lineage: Bacteria; Bacillati; Bacillota; Clostridia; Lachnospirales; Lachnospiraceae.